This 6222-nucleotide long non-coding RNA is filed under the name Xyrichtys novacula (pearly razorfish). Lineage: Eukaryota; Metazoa; Chordata; Actinopteri; Labriformes; Labridae. The record is from RNAcentral.
GUUUCUUCUUCUCUCCUGACAGGUGGGUCCUUCCGCCCCUCCCUGCUAAAGUCUCCUCCCUCAGUUUAACUGCUCUUACCACGAGCAAACAUCAAACAGCUGAUACUAAGGUGUCAUAAAACUGGGAGGGUUCCGCCUCUGUCUUCUGCGCCUGUUUGUAUUGGGUGGAAAGUCUAAACCAUAAAGGGAUGAUGCUGGUCAUGAGAUAAAGUGAGAAUUCAGUUGUUGGUGGGGAUGUGGCUCAGGGCUCUUUCAGAGAUCUGGCUUGACCAGUUCCUGACUGUGCGGGAGUAUUCAGUCUAACACUGGGCCACUGUUCUCCCAAGUGCUGCCUCUUCAUAAUGUAAUUUCUUCAGAUGUUGUUAAGCCAAACACGCAGUGAUUUAAAGUCCUCUAGGCUAAAAUCACUGUAUGUUUGAGAUCUUUCCAUGGCUGGUUUUGUGCUUAAACAACAUAUCAGUAACUGAAUCUCUUCUGAUUGGCUGCCCAUGAUGCGUUUUCCAAGAACAUUCAGUGUAUAAAUCAUUGGCAGUGCCAGUGCCUAUAAAUCUUGGAGAAAGUUUGCUCUUAUUUUACUCAGAGUGAGAAAAUGUGACACUUCCUAAGGCAACAAUUUAUUUUGGACUGUGCUUUUUGCACGCUAGCGGAAAAACAAGUUAUCUUUGAAAUUUAGUUCUGCACUAAAAUGCUGUAUGGUUCACAAAUUGCUCUAGAUUAUUCAGGCAAGCCUAAGCCUCACAAACAUUUAACAAAGAGCACAAAAGGGCUUGUAGGUGCCAUAUAUUAUGUCACUACAUGUGUAUUUUCAAGAAAAGUGCUCUUAUGUGUAAGACCAAACAGAGCAAGAGAAAAGACAGAGUGAUGAAAGUUUUGAAAGCAAAGGCAACCCAGAAUUUUGAGUCACAAAAACUUGCUAUUGCAAUCUGUCGCUCUCGUGAUGACACCUUGUUUACCACCCUGCCAAGGUUUGAACUGAGCUGAACCAAGGUCAGAGGUUGAGGAGCAGGCAGAGGUUGUUCCUUUUUGUCAUGCCAAACAUAGUUGAACCCAAUCACACAGACCUGCAAAGUCAGUGGUGUGUACUCCAUUUUCAAAUAAGCUCUAACAAAGAAAAAGGGAGGGCUUCAGAUAACAGAGGUAUGUCUCUGAUGUCACUGAGUGUUUCAGGUAUUGUUACAUCUACACUCCUCAUCUUGAUAAGAUGAGACAGAAGUUAAACAUGAACGAUAAUUAUUUUCAUGUAACCAUUAAAGGUUUAAUAUCAACACAAUUAGAUUAAUUGAAUAAAAAAUUAAAUCCAGUUUACCUGCUGACCUGAGUCUGACUGCCCCCUUCCUCAUGUUAACUCCUCUUAUCUCCGUUUCUGACCCUGACUGCUGUCCUGUCUUCUCAUUAAAGGCAUAAAAAGCUGAAAAUUAAUCUUUAGAUUAAAAGUGUAUGUUUCAAAUGGACCCUUUGUAUUGAAGAGAAAAAUAAGGAAACUAUAGUUUACCGAAUAAAAGUGAAAUUAUGUUGGAUUACAGUUAUUCAAAUCAGACCGCAUACAAAUAAAGUCAUGCAAAUAUUUUCAUCUGUCUGAUAUGAAUUUUAGGAUUUUCACACUGGUGAAACUUGAACUAAAUUAAGCAGCAACCUCAUUUGGACACAUUAGCAGAAUUCUUAGACUAAAAACUUUUGGUUCUGUCGUUCUGCAUGUUUAGAGCUUCUUUUUGUCUGAGGGUUUUUUUUCUCUCUGUUUCUUAUGAUGUAAAUUGAGAGAGAAGCCCACUGAGCAUUUUUUGGUCUAAAAGAGGUCUAAUAGAAGUCUAAAUGUAGCCUAGACGACUGGUCUGAAAUCAGUUUAAAUUUAGACCAAGUGUAGACUAAAUCUAAAUCUGGGCUAUAUCAGUAUUAACUGUAUGUUGCUCAACAGCUAUCAUAAUUAUUUUGGUUAAGUACUUGGAGAUCAGUUAUGCAAAUCACAUAUGCUUUUUUUAAAAAAUAGUUAUUGCAUAAUGAGUUUAAGUGCAAUGUCUCAAUUCUGUCUCAAAAUAUACAGAAUCUAGAUGGUUGAAAUUAGGUUUUAAAAAAAAAACUAAACGUCUAAUAGCCGUCUGUUGCUCAGUGGGAGACAACCCGUGUUUCCCUGCCUGAGGUUGUCCAGUUCUACCUCUUUAUCAACAUCAAGUGGUAGGCUGUGUACACUACAAGAGGCGAAGCAAAUCGACUCCAUCAUCAUCAUCAUCAUCAUCAUCAUCAUCACUACUCAGAGUUUCCCUACAGUGGGCGGUAUGUCAUGCAUUACUUUGGCUUUCUGUCAUGGUCCAGGGCUGGGCUACGCUGUGCUACCAGUAUGGCAAACUAAAGUCUGUAAUUUUGGUUCAACUAGAAAAAAAAAUGGUCAUGCUGGCUUCACUAUUUAAAAGCUUUAAAUUGUAGUUUUGUGUUUGAGAGCUUGUGUGGUGUGCUGUGUUGCUCACAGCCGACCACAGCUUGUUGUACUCCAGGAAUACACCAUGUUUUUUUUAUAUAGAUACUGUAAAUAUAAAUCAGAGCAGCUGUGUGACAGAAUGAAAAUCUUUGAGAUAUAUAGAGGUUACACAGUACAGUCGUGUGAAUCACAGGGUUUUCAUUUUAAAGUCAAUUUAUUUUAAGAGUAUUAUGUUUUUGGACACAUGGACUUUCUACAUUUUGGCCACAGAUAAAAAAGAGAAACUUGUAGUUUGGUAUAAAAAAACCUUGAUGGAAAAUGUUGAAGAUUGGGAAUGUCACAAGUAUGUUUUCAAUCAGAAGACCAUUAAAAACAUAUUUCUAAAAACUAAACAUUUAAACUGUUUUUGAAGGUCACUACUGCCUAAUUCUCUUACCCUUUUUAUGACCCUGACUGAUACAGAAAAUUCAUUUCCCUUCACCAGUUUCAUUUCAUUCUGGCCAGACUGUGAUUGUCUGUCUAUCUGUGCCUGUGACUAUGCGUUAUCGCAAUCUCAUUCUGUGUCUCUAUUGAGAGGCACGAGACCAGAAGCGACACAUGUCUGAGAAACAGUCCUGUGUUGACUCAACCUCUCCCCCCUCCACUUCUCUGCACUUCCGGCCCACUCAGACUUCCCAGCCAUGUUUCUUCCCAAUGGCAACAGAGCCACAAUAAAGACGAACAGCAGUGGCACGCAUAUACAGUGUGGUCGCAGGUUUUACCUUUUAAAAUCUUUUUUUUUGACCCUCAGUCUGUAGACAGAGGAGUUCCAAGUACAAAACACUUGUUUGGAAGAGAUUGCUCACAUGCGGAGAUGUCAGGAAGUUGGGGUUUAAAUACUUCCAGAAGUUCACGGGUCAUCCAGCAUGAUCUUUUUUUUAGUGGAGAGGAAAUAAUCAUCAUUCCAGCCACAUUCCUAUGUGAAUAUGUUUCUUCUUUUUGAGCAUACAAGCCUAUUUUUAUGAAGAAAAUCUGACUUUUUAAAAGAAGGAAACUGUUGCCAAAUUCUCUUAUGCGCAAAAAUAAAGCAGAUUGUGUAAUCCUUUCUGAGACCUCAUGAGGUUUCUGUAUGUAGCCCUUCAUACCAUGUGUUUCAGUAUAAAUACCACAUCCAGAGUGAAAUUCUUGUGCUCUCAACUGAAUGGAAAUUCCAACACAACUACAGUUUCCUCCCAGCAAGUGACUCAAUCAAAGCUCAGCUCAGUGUCUUCCACCCUUGGCCCUUCCUGCACAGUGGGCCUCUGGGUGUGUCUCCCUCCCUCUGACCUCAUGUUCCCAGAAAAUCCUCCAGAAACCUCAGCAGCACACUCGCUCACAUGCUGCAGCCUCAGUGUACACAACAACAAACUGGGUGGUGUGAAGACACACUCGUCACUUAGGUUGUUACGUCAACAUUGCUGAUUUUGGUGCUGGCGUCUGAGCCUGUUCAUUCAACCAGAGCAUACAGUGCUGUGUGCAUUUGUAUGUAGAUGUGUGUUUGUAUACGAGCAUCCUGUUUACACACCUCAGUUACUGCUGCCUGUGGUGAGAAAUUUCAACUCAAACAUGACUGUUCUUGCCAAAAAUACAAUUUGGUCUUAUUUUUUAAACCUUUUUCUAGAAUUUAAGGCUAAAUUUUAACCUUGCAAAUACUUAUAUACCUUUUAACUUCAAAACUUACAAAAGCAGCACUUAUCAACGUACGUAGGUUCAAUAAUAGGCACAAGUACAUCUCAGUGCCAAUAUGGCAUGCCAAAGACUCCUGGACCAGCUUGUGAUUAGAAUUAUAGAUUAAUGAAAAGAGGCUUAGUGUUUGGGAAAAAGACGAAAGUUUAAACAUUGCAGUAAAACUUUUGUAACAGGACUUGAACAUGUUCAGUGAGUUUUCUGGCCGGCUAAGACCAAAAAAACACAGUAGCUAAAGCAAACACGCUGACACUGAACUCGCAGUGUUAGGAUUAAAGGGGCACCUGACAGACAGACAGACAGACAGACAGACCGGCCGGCUGUCACAGUUUGUGUAAGUCAUACCUGAGUUUCUCUGAAUGCUGACGGGUGGUGACAGAUCUCCUGGGAAGUUGAGGUCCUCAGAAAGUGACAGAAAUCCCUGAAGGUGCUGUGAAUGGAUUUUUCCCCCCCGACUUCUGUUGGAGGUGCCGCUCUCUUUGAGUGAAAAAACUUGUUCUCUCUGCGUGGCGGAGCUCAGUCCAUGUGGCUGGAUGGGAAAUGGGAAAUGAACAGUCUGGGCAAAGGGCCAAGAGCAGAGGGAGUUUUAAAGACACAGCAGUUUUCAGUGUUACAAGGUUUAGUCACACUUUGCACUGUGGAAGUUACCAGUGAAACAUUUUCAGCAUUUUCAGCUGCUGUAUGUAUCAGCAUUUACCUCUCAGUUUAUUUCCACUUUUACCAUACAUAGUUUUACUUGCACUUCUACAACCUUGUUUGUUUUAAACUGGUGUAGAUUCCCAUGCAGCAUUGCAAUAUUAUGUACACUUAAGAAUUGAAGCCUCACAGUAAUGGCUUGUUUGUAUCAUAAACACAGUUUUCCCCUUUCAGUGGUUGAAGUGUGAGUCACACAUUUCAGACACAGUAAUUCUACUCAAAGAAAAAGCAACUCCAACCCUAAAAGUGGCAAAUCCAAUUGAUUUGAUGUGCAAAUAAAUGUUAACUGGAAAUGAGAAUGUACUGCAAAUGCAUAAUGCCAAAAUAACUUCACAUUUAAAAGGCUGUGAAUCAUCUACUUAACCCAAAAACAAACGGAUGUCACGGUGGUAAAAAAUGUUUUCAUCUAGUUUCAGAAAGUACUUUACACAGUAAGACUGAAUUCAUGUCAUUUACUGUAAAUGUGCUUCUGUUUUUCCAUUAAUCUGGUUUCUUUUCAAGUAUUGAUCUCAAUGAAACAUUUAUGUGCAGUAUAUUUUGUAGAGUGUAAUGACAAUGACAUGGUAAGAUGAAAUGAGCCUGAAAACAUCCAGCUAUUGCAGAUUUUGCUUUUGAAAUGCUGUGCUUUAACUCUACAAUAGUUUGUAGGCAAUAACUGAAAUUAAACUGCUCUGGAAUUAUCCCACAUCUUUAGUGCUGAGCUGCCUUUGUAAUUCUACAUUAUAAUAAAAAUAUAGUUCAACAAAAAUGAUGAAUAACAUGCAACCAGAAAAUAUACAAAAUUCAAUGCACAUGUGAAUUAAAUUAGUCCUUCCCCUUGCAGCCGUGACAUAUUUGAGUCAGUCAAUGUGAAGUCAGGACAAUCCAAUAGUGUAAAAUACAAUAUUCAGAAAUGUGAGUCCUGCUGAAUGGGUCUUAUUGCUAAUCUUAGUAGUUUUAAAUGCGACUUUUACCAAAAUUUAGAAUGCAGAUCUUUUGUAUAAUUUUUUACCUGUACACUACUCUUCUGUGGUCUUUCCUCUGCAGUAUUUUAGUUUCAUGACUGCCUCCCUAAAACUGUGCAUCACAUAUCCAUGAAAGUAAACAUUUGUUGAGGUGUCACUUUCAUUACUUCACAGCUUUGUCAACUGAAGUAAAGAUCAUCAUCCCAUAUAACGGCAGCAGCAAUCAUUACACUAAAAAAAUCAUGCAUGGGUUGCAAAGAAGUGAGUUAGAGUCUCCCUCUAGUGGUUAAUACUGAGAAGUCAACUAGUUGUAGCAAAAGCCAGUGCAACACAUCUUCUUGCUGCUGCCAACAGUAAGUGUGGACAUUAAAACAGUUGUGCCUCAUUGUUUACUUUCUUUUUCAUGCCUUUUUUAUGUUUUGAUAGAGUGUGUAUUUUGCUAGUCUAAGAAUUAUAUAAGGACAAACG